Molecule: ribosomal RNA, 254 nt
Filed under: uncultured bacterium
Lineage: Bacteria
Description: partial 16S ribosomal RNA
Rfam family: Bacterial small subunit ribosomal RNA
Source: RNAcentral
UACAGAGGUCACAAGCGUUAUCCGGAUUUAUUGGGCGUAAAGCGUUUCGUAGGUGAUUUGUUAAGUUGCUCUUCAAAGACCACGGCUCAACCGGGGGAAGGGGAGUAAGACUGGCAGAAUUGAAUUGUGGUGGGGUUUCUGGAACUGGUGGUGUAGUAGUGAAAUACGUUGAUAUCAUCAGGAACUCCAAGGGCGAAGGCAGGAAACUAACCAUAUAUUGACACUGAGGAACGACAGCUAGGGUAGCGAAAGGG